AUAUGUCUGAAUGUUCGAUUCAAUCGCUUCAAUUUGAAAAUUCAUAAAAAGUCGUGCGCAUAUCUCAUGUUGCAGCAAGAAAUCAUUUGAAAUAUUGAUCGAUUUUAACGCAAUGAAAUAAAUACUGGAUAAAUAUUAAUUUACAAAUCGCUGCAAAAGCAAUAGGUUAAUAAAAAUAUUUUAUUUCAACGCCGGCAAAUUCGAGGCCAUCUAAAGGCGGAUUUCCAUUACACGCUGCCUUCACGAACGAUUAACAUAUCAUAGCGAAUAUUUAUACCAUAAACAGACAAUAUGAAGUUUGCUACGAAGUUUCUUACACCCAGAAGGAAAUGUCGGAGACCCUAUAAAAUCCUGGUAAUUGCUAAUCAAUAUUGCUAACGGUAUCCUCCUCCUCCUGCAGCGAAAUGAUCUUAAAGUGCAAACAAUUAAGAAAGAAAUAUAUUGCCGUUAGUUGCUUAAAAUUUCCAGUGUUGAGUUUAAAAAAUUUUCAAAUUAAAUAUUCAAUUACUAUUGUAAAUAUAAAAAGGGGGA
This is a long non-coding RNA of Bactrocera oleae (olive fruit fly), 531 nucleotides long. RefSeq lists it as uncharacterized. The record is from RefSeq and is a predicted model, not a curated record. Lineage: Eukaryota; Metazoa; Arthropoda; Insecta; Diptera; Tephritidae.